GUGCUCACUUCGGCAGCACAUAUACUAAAACUGGAACGAUACAGAGAAGAUUAGCAUGGCCCCUGCGCAAGUAUGACACACAAAUUUGUGAAGCGUUCCAUAUUUUU
RNAcentral lists this small nuclear RNA (107 nucleotides) under Monodon monoceros (narwhal). Lineage: Eukaryota; Metazoa; Chordata; Mammalia; Artiodactyla; Monodontidae. The record is from RNAcentral.